RNAcentral lists this ribosomal RNA (836 nucleotides) under uncultured soil bacterium. Its description in RNAcentral is "SSU rRNA". It matches the Rfam family "Bacterial small subunit ribosomal RNA", at positions 1 to 898 of the family's 1533-position model. The record is from RNAcentral.
UAGAGUUUGAUCCUGGCUCAGAGCGAACGCUGGCGGCAGGCCUAACACAUGCAAGUCGAGCGCCCCGCAAGGGGAGCGGCAGACGGGAGAGUAACACGUGGGAACGUACCCUUCGGUUCGGAACAACCCAGGGAAACUUGGGCUAAUACCGGAUACGUCCGAAAGGAGAAAGAUUUAUCGCCGAGGGAUCGGCCCGCGUCUGAUUAGCUAGUUGGUGGGGUAACGGCCCACCAAGGCGACGAUCAGUAGCUGGUCUGAGAGGAUGAUCAGCCUCACUGGGACUGAGACACGGCCCAGACUCCUACGGGAGGCAGCGGUGGGGAAUAUUGGACAAUGGGCGCAAGCCUGAUCCAGCCAUGCCGCGUGGGUGAUGAAGGCCCUAGGGUUGUAAAGCCCUUUCGGCGGGGAAGAUAAUGACGGUACCCGCAGAAGAAGCCCCGGCUAACUUCGUGCCAGCAGCCGCGGUAAUACGAAGGGGGCUAGCGUUGCUCGGAAUCACUGGGCGUAAAGCGCACGUACGCGGCUUGUUAAGUCAGGGGUGAAAUCCUGGAGCUCAACUCCAGAACUGCCUUUGAUACUGACGAGCUUGAGUCCGGGAGAGGUGAGUGGAACUGCGAGAGUAGAGGUGAAAUUCGUAGAUAUUCGCAAGAACACCAGUGGCGAACGCGGCUCACUGGCCCGAUACUGACGCUGAGGUGCGAAAGCGUGUGGAGCAAACAGGAUUAGAUACCCUGGUAGUCCACGUCGUCACGAUGGAUGCUAGCCCAUCGCCGGUUUACUCGUCAGUAGCGCAGCUCCCGCUGAGCUCUCGCCUGGGGAGUAAGUCGCAGCUUCAA